GGAUGCGAUCAUACCAGCACUAAAGUACCGGAUCCCAUCAGAACUCCGAAGUUAAGCGUGCUUGGGCGAGAGUAGUACUAGGAUGGGUGACCUCUUGGGAAGUCCUCGUGUUGCAUUCC
Molecule: ribosomal RNA, 119 nt
Filed under: Triticum aestivum (bread wheat)
Lineage: Eukaryota; Viridiplantae; Streptophyta; Magnoliopsida; Poales; Poaceae
Also listed under: 1 other name
Source: RNAcentral